GUGUGAUGAUGGAUUAUGGUGGGUCAUUCCCUGUGGGCCUCUCACAGUGUACCCAUGCCAGAGUAAAUUGUAGUCUCAAACUAUUACCCAGCCCCCUUCCCUGUGGGCUGUGAGACUGAAGGGGGUUGUACAGUG
This is a small nucleolar RNA of Myotis lucifugus (little brown bat), 135 nucleotides long. Ensembl annotates it as small nucleolar RNA SNORA42/SNORA80 family. The record is from Ensembl. Lineage: Eukaryota; Metazoa; Chordata; Mammalia; Chiroptera; Vespertilionidae.